CGGGGCGUGGCUCAGUUUGGCUAGAGCGCUUGAAUGGGGUUCAAGAGGUCACAGGUUCAAGUCCUGUCGCCCCGA
RNAcentral lists this transfer RNA (75 nucleotides) under Candidatus Omnitrophota bacterium. RNAcentral describes it as "Candidatus Omnitrophica bacterium tRNA-Pro". It matches the Rfam family "tRNA". Rfam says of the family: Transfer RNA (tRNA) molecules are approximately 80 nucleotides in length. Lineage: Bacteria; Pseudomonadati; Candidatus Omnitrophota. The record is from RNAcentral.